Molecule: long non-coding RNA, 239 nt
Organism: Teleopsis dalmanni
Lineage: Eukaryota; Metazoa; Arthropoda; Insecta; Diptera; Diopsidae
Exons: 3
Source: RefSeq, a predicted model, not a curated record
AAUACAUUUAGAUAUGUGCUAACAAUUCUAGCUAACAAUUAUACUAUUUAGAGCUGCCUCUAAACAGCUGCGCGGAAUAAUAACUGGAAAAUCAUAAAAAACAUGCAAAAAGAGAGGAUUAGCCCAUAUAUAACUUAUAUGACGUGGUGAUGGUGAACCAAAUGUUGCAAAGCAAAUAUAUAAUUAAUCUUAAUCUUAAAGGACUCAUAUGAUUCCAGUGCACAAUACUUUUGUAGUUA